This 447-nucleotide ribosomal RNA is filed under the name uncultured bacterium. RNAcentral's name for it is "bacterial SSU rRNA". It matches the Rfam family "Bacterial small subunit ribosomal RNA", at positions 355 to 825 of the family's 1533-position model. The record is from RNAcentral.
UGGGGAAUUUUGGGCAAUGGGCGCAAGCCUGAUCCAGCCAUGCCGCGUGAGUGAAGAAGGCCUUCGGGUUGUAAAGCUCUUUUACCAGGGACGAUAAUGACGGUACCUGGAGAAUAAGCCCCGGCAAACUUCGUGCCAGCAGCCGCGGUAAUACGAAGGGGGCUAGCGUUGUUCGGAAUUACUGGGCGUAAAGCGCACGUAGGCGGAUUGUUAAGUCAGAGGUGAAAUCCCGGAGCUCAACUUCGGAACUGCCUUUGAUACUGGCAAUCUCGAGUCCGGAAGAGGUUAGUGGAAUUCCCAGUGUAGAGGUGAAAUUCGUAGAUAUUGGGAAGAACACCAGUGGCGAAGGCGGCUAACUGGUCCGGUACUGACGCUGAGGUGCGAAAGCGUGGGGAGCAAACAGGAUUAGAUACCCAAGUAGUCCCUGAGCGGGCUGGCAAGGCGCAU